RNAcentral lists this ribosomal RNA (805 nucleotides) under uncultured bacterium. Its description in RNAcentral is "bacterial SSU rRNA". It matches the Rfam family "Bacterial small subunit ribosomal RNA", at positions 100 to 928 of the family's 1533-position model. The record is from RNAcentral.
GACGGGUGAGUAACGCGUGGGGACCUGCCUCAUACAGGGGGAUAACAACCGGAAACGGUGUAAAACCGCAUAAUAUGCGAACAUCGCAUGAUGAUUGCAUUAAAUAUUUAUAGGUAUGAGAUGGGCCCGCGUCUGAUUAGCUAGUUGGUGAGAUAAAAGCUCACCAAGGCUUCGAUCAGUAGCCGGCUUGAGAGAGUGACCGGCCACAUUGGGACUGAGACACGGCCCAAACUCCUACGGGAGGCAGCAGUGGGGAAUAUUGCACUAUGGGGGAAACCCUGAUGCAGCGACGCCGCGUGAGUGAAGAAGUAUUUCGGUAUGUAAAGCUCUAUCAGCAGGGAAGAAAAUGACGGUACCUGACUAAGAAGCCCCGGCUAACUACGUGCCAGCAGCCGCGGUAAUACGUAGGGGGCAAGCGUUAUCCGGAUUUACUGGGUGUAAAGGGAGCGUAGGUGGCAAAUCAAGUCAGAUGUGAAAGCCCGGGGCUCAACCCCGGGAUUGCAUUUGAAACUGGUAUGCUAGAGUGCAGGAGAGGUAAGUGGAAUUCCUAGUGUAGCGGUGAAAUGCGUAGAUAUUAGGAGGAACACCAGUGGCGAAGGCGGCUUACUGGACUGUGACUGACACUGAGGCUCGAAAGCGUGGGGAGCAAACAGGAUUAGAUACCCUGGUAGUCCACGCCGUAACGAUGAAUACUAGGUGUCGGGGGUCAAAAGACCUUCGGUGCCGUCGCAAACGCAUUAAGUAUUCCACCUGGGGAGUACGUUCGCAAGAAUGAAACUCAAAGGAUUGACGGGGACCCGCACAA